RNAcentral lists this ribosomal RNA (1256 nucleotides) under Lasioderma redtenbacheri. Its description in RNAcentral is "16S ribosomal RNA". The stretch from base 1017 to 1175 matches the Rfam family "Archaeal large subunit ribosomal RNA", at positions 2542 to 2701 of the family's 2987-position model. Lineage: Eukaryota; Metazoa; Arthropoda; Insecta; Coleoptera; Ptinidae. The record is from RNAcentral.
UUUUAAAUAAUUAUUAAUUUUUUCUUAACAAAUUUAUUUAAUUAAAAAUAAUUAAGUAUUAGUUUACUUUAAAAAAUAUAUAAUUUAUGAUAGAUUAUUAGUAUUGUGAAAGAAAUUAUUUUAAAAUUUUAAAGAAAAAUUUAAUUUUUGUACCUUGUGUAUCAGGGUUUAUUAAUUUAAUUACUUAUAGUAAACUUCUCGAAUUAAGAAGAUCUAGAUUUAUAUAUUUUAAUUGUAACAUAAAUUUUAUAUAUAUAAUUCUUGAAAUGAAACGUUAUUCGUUUCUUAUAUAUCUAGUUGUAAAAGAAACUUAUUUAAUAAGAUUUUUAUAUAUUAAAAAUUUAAUUUUUAAAAUUUUUGAUUAUAAAAGUUUAUAAUUAUUGGGAUAAACUUGUAAUUAUAUAAAUAUAAUUUUUAGAUUGAAAUAAUUUUAUAGGAUUAGAAAUUUCCAUUUUAUAGUUUGCUAUAAUUAAUUUAUUUUCAAUAAUAAUUUAUAAAAAUUUAUUUAGUUUAUUUUACUUAUUUAUUUAAUAUAAAUAUAAAUUUAAUAAUGAUAAAAUUAGUAAUUUUUGUGUAUAAAUUUAUUAACAUUUAAGAUUAUUUUAAGGAACUCGGCAAAUAAAUUUUCGCCUGUUUAUUAAAAACAUGUCUUUUUGAUAAUAAUUUAAAGUCGGGCCUGCCCAAUGAAAAAUUUAAUGGCUGCAGUAUUUUGACUGUACAAAGGUAGCAUAAUCAUUAGUUUUUUAAAUGAAAACUAGAAUGAAUGGUUUGACGAAAAAUUUUCUGUCUCAAUAUAAAUAAUGAAUUUUAUUUUUCAGUAAAAAAGCUGAAAUAAUAUUAAAAGACGAGAAGACCCUAUAGAGUUUUAUAUAAAUUUUAGAUAAAUUAUUAAUUUUAUUUUAUUAUUUAUAUUUUAUUGGGGUGAUAAGAAAAUUUAAUAAACUUUUCUUAAUUUUUACAUUUAUAUAUGAAAUUAUGAUCCAUAAUUUAUGAUUAAAAGAACAAAUUACCUUAGGGAUAACAGCGUAAUUUAUUUUAAGAGCUCUAAUCGAAAAAUAAGUUUGCGACCUCGAUGUUGGAUUAAAAUUUAUAAAUAGUGCAAAAGCUAUUCUAUUAGGUCUGUUCGACCUUUAAAAUUUUACAUGAUCUGAGUUUAAACCGGCGUGAGCCAGGUUGGUUUCUAUCUUUAAUUAAUAUAUUCAGUUUAGUACGAAAGGAUCAAUUGAAUAUUAUAAUAAUUUAAUUAGAAUAAAAUU